RNAcentral lists this ribosomal RNA (468 nucleotides) under uncultured bacterium. RNAcentral describes it as "partial 16S ribosomal RNA". It matches the Rfam family "Bacterial small subunit ribosomal RNA", at positions 28 to 507 of the family's 1533-position model. The record is from RNAcentral.
GACGAACGCUGGCGGCGUGCUUAACACAUGCAAGUCGAACGGAAAGGCCCUGCUUUUGUGGGGUGCUCGAGUGGCGAACGGGUGAGUAACACGUGAGUAACCUGCCCUUGACUUUGGGAUAACUUCAGGAAACUGGGGCUAAUACCGGAUCGGAGCUCCUGCUGCAUGGUGGGGGUUGGAACGUUUCGGCGGUUGGGGAUGGACUCGCGGCUUAUCAGCUUGUUGGUGGGGUAGUGGCUUACCAAGGCUUUGACGGGUAGCCGGCCUGAGAGGGUGACCGGCCACAUUGGGACUGAGAUACGGCCCAGACUCCUACGGGAGGCAGCAGUGGGGAAUAUUGCACAAUGGGCGGAAGCCUGAUGCAGCAACGCCGCGUGCGGGAUGACGGCCUUCGGGUUGUAAACCGCUGUCGCCUGUGACGAAGCGUGAGUGACGGUAAUGGGUAAAGAAGCACCGGCUAACUACGUG